RNAcentral lists this long non-coding RNA (340 nucleotides) under Zostera marina. Its description in RNAcentral is "long non-coding RNA (ZMAR_LNC004424)". The record is from RNAcentral. Lineage: Eukaryota; Viridiplantae; Streptophyta; Magnoliopsida; Alismatales; Zosteraceae.
AUGCUUCUUUAUCCAAGAGAACUAACGGGAAAGGAACAUGAUUUUCUGGUUUAUAUUCGGUAGGGGAACUUGAACUGAUGGAUAAAAGGUUUCUUUCAGGUAUUUCAUAGUUGGGACUCUCAUUACUGCAAUCAUGAUAAGUCUUUAGUCUCUUGUUUUUUUGUUCUUCCUUAUGAUGAUCUAACAGCCAACAUUCUUUUGACAAGGUUUCACCAGAAGCUUUAGAAAUAGACUCUUGCAGGAAAGUGUGUUUCAUACUGGACCCCAUAUCACAGCUGAAAAUUUCCCCUUGCAUAUUGUUUUCCUGUGGAAGGUCAAUAAGUCCAGCUUUAAAAUCUAU